Molecule: ribosomal RNA, 253 nt
Filed under: uncultured bacterium
Lineage: Bacteria
Description: partial 16S ribosomal RNA
Rfam family: Bacterial small subunit ribosomal RNA
Source: RNAcentral
UACGGAGGGUGCAAGCGUUAUCCGGAUUCACUGGGUUUAAAGGGUGCGUAGGUGGGCAGGUAAGUCAGUGGUGAAAUCUCUGGGCUUAACCCAGAAACUGCCGUUGAUACUAUCUGUCUUGAAUGUAGUGGAGGUGAGCGGAAUAUGUCAUGUAGCGGUGAAAUGCUUAGAUAUGACAUAGAACACCAAUUGCGAAGGCAGCUCGCUACACUACUAUUGACACUGAGGCACGAAAGCGUGGGGAUCAAACAGG